RNAcentral lists this unclassified non-coding RNA (210 nucleotides) under Hevea brasiliensis (rubber tree). Lineage: Eukaryota; Viridiplantae; Streptophyta; Magnoliopsida; Malpighiales; Euphorbiaceae. The record is from RNAcentral.
UUUCAACUAUAUGUGAUGGAUCUUUUAAUUUUAGUAAAUUAGUCCAUAAAGUACUACAUUUGUUUUUGUAUCAAUGGGUUUGGAGUGUCUUCCUAUGUUAAUCUGGUGUUAAAAUGGAAGGUAAAUAUAGAUAUAACUUGUUGACUAUAAGAAGUGGCCCUCUUUUGAGCACCAAGAACUGUCAAAUGGUGGCAUUGCUUAAAUUGCCAU